GAAGAUAGUAGCCAUUCUACCAGAAGAAACACUGGUGGGAAUCGACGGUGGAUUAGACACGUUUCAGUCCAGUUCAUGCUCUAAACAACAAGCAUGUGUUGACGAGGAAACCUCAAGCAUUUCAAUUGGCCACGAGUUGAACAUUGUCUGAUGUGCAGCUAGCACAAUACACGUUCUUCAUUGAACAAACAGAAACAACCCGGUUAAAAAGAAAAUUGAUGGAACAACAAAUUCAGACACAAAAGGCUGCGGAGCAGUACUUCAUUGAAAGCAAAAAAAACCUUGCCCAAAAUGUAUUAGAUAAUUUUUUAGA
Long non-coding RNA from Dreissena polymorpha, 313 nucleotides. RefSeq lists it as uncharacterized. The record is from RefSeq and is a predicted model, not a curated record. The transcript has 3 exons. Lineage: Eukaryota; Metazoa; Mollusca; Bivalvia; Myida; Dreissenidae.